GACGAACGCUGGCGGCGUGCCUAAUACAUGCAAGUCGAGCGGAGUUAGGAGGGAGCUUGCUCCCGAUUAACUUAGCGGCGGACGGGUGAGUAACACGUAGGCAACCUACCCUCUAGACUGGGAUAACUACCGGAAACGGUAGCUAAUACCGGAUAAUUCCUUGACCCUCCUGGGUUAAGGAUGAAAGGCGGAGCAAUCUGCUACUAGAGGAUGGGCCUGCGGCGCAUUAGCUAGUUGGUGGGGUAACGGCCUACCAAGGCGACGAUGCGUAGCCGACCUGAGAGGGUGAACGGCCACACUGGGACUGAGACACGGCCCAGACUCCUACGGGAGGCAGCAGUAGGGAAUCUUCCGCAAUGGGCGAAAGCCUGACGGAGCAACGCCGCGUGAGUGAUGAAGGUUUUCGGAUCGUAAAGCUCUGUUGCCAGGGAAGAACGUCCGGUAGAGUAACUGCUACCGGAGUGACGGUA
Molecule: ribosomal RNA, 470 nt
Filed under: uncultured Paenibacillus sp.
Lineage: Bacteria; Bacillati; Bacillota; Bacilli; Caryophanales; Paenibacillaceae
Description: bacterial SSU rRNA
Rfam family: Bacterial small subunit ribosomal RNA
Source: RNAcentral